AACAAGGCGUACCUGCGGACCUGCGGAGGGAUCAUUACCGAGUUUACAACUCCCAAACCCCUGUGAACAUACCUAUACGUUGCCUCGGCGGAUCAGCCCGCGCCCCGUAAAACGGGACGGCCCGCCCGAGGACCCCUAAACUCUGUUUUUAGUGGAACUUCUGAGUAAAACAAACAAAUAAAUCAAAACUUUCAACAACGGAUCU
This 205-nucleotide unclassified non-coding RNA is filed under the name soil metagenome. RNAcentral's name for it is "partial contains 5.8S ribosomal RNA, internal transcribed spacer 2, and large subunit ribosomal RNA". The record is from RNAcentral.